UAUAAGCAGGUUCGUUGGUUCCCUUAGGCUUUGGUUGGGUUGUUUUCUUUUGUUGUUGGUCUUCUGUUUUCUUUCUUGGUUCUUCUUCUUCCGGUUUUCUAGAGCCGAGCUUCUUAGGGGUGAUGGUUAGGCCGGAACUCCUGAAGUUGUCUCUUCCCGCUCCUGAACCGAAUGUGAGUCUUUCACGAGUACUCUUUUUCCUUCUAAGGUUUCUUCUUAGAAGGUUUUAAUGAGGCUCGGUCUUUUGUUUGCUCUCUUUUGCGCUUUCUUGG
RNAcentral lists this long non-coding RNA (272 nucleotides) under Salvia miltiorrhiza (redroot sage). RNAcentral's name for it is "long non-coding RNA (SMIL_LNC013695)". The record is from RNAcentral. Lineage: Eukaryota; Viridiplantae; Streptophyta; Magnoliopsida; Lamiales; Lamiaceae.